GAAAAAAGUUAUGUCAUUUACUCCUUUGACAUUUAUUGAGUGUGAUGGUGGCAGGAAAGGUCUAGCUGCUAGGGUAGGUGGUAGAUCCACAUUACCAGGAGGGCAUACCUAUCUCAGCCCCUGAGGACUCUCAGCUGAAACCUUUACUGGAGCUUGUAGGCGGAUAUCACUCCCUACAGUGAUAGCUGGGAAGUUGUGCCCCCCUCAUCCCCACCCAUACACACAUACUCAGAGGCCAGCCUGCAGAAAAUGAGAUGACUGAUAUUUGAGGGGGUGGUGAAAAUUCAACCCCUAGCCUCAAGGUGGGACAACUCCGUGUUGUCAUUCGAGAACUAGAGCUCCUCCCCCACCAUCAGACUUAGGCUGAGCCCACAGCUGAUCUCACCUUACCCUAUUCUGUUUCCCUCAUUCCACAGGUCUCACCUGAAAGUACGCUCUCAAUAAGUCACAUGAUGAGAACUUUCAUCUUAGGCUGUGCGUCUAAGGACCCCAACUUACAGCAAAGAGCAACACCACAGCAGUCUCCACCGUCCAGAAGCUCGUUUAUGGUCAAGGGUCUGACACAUAAACAGGAACCAGUACUCCCUUAGCAUACCUCAGUCAGUGGGAGAUUACUGAGGCAUACCUGUGGCAAUAAGAAGAGAGACACAUGAUACCAUCUGGAACAGUGGCCUCACAGUAAGUGAAAUGCCAUAUGGGUACUGGGAGGACUAACCCCAGAGGUGGUCCUUCAUCUCCUUACUGUUCAUCACAAGCAUGACCAGUCUGUUCUCUCCAGCUGUUCUUCUGUGUUCAUUCCGUGUUCAUCUGAUGCAUCUCAUAGUACAGAUAUUUUUUUGAGUUUCUCAGUUCAAAUUCCUGAAAGAACUUUAUUGCCCUAUUGAAUCAUCACUCUUGUUGCUGCAAAGCUUUGUGUACUACUGGGGUUACUUGACAAAAUUCAGAUCACCUGCUUUUACAUCAGGAGUCAACUAUGCAUUUGAUCCAAGGGCAGAGAGAAGGUUCUUGUGGUAGGGAACAUGGCCA
This 1026-nucleotide long non-coding RNA is filed under the name Bos grunniens (domestic yak). Its description in RNAcentral is "lncRNA (ENSBGRG00000012492.1)". Lineage: Eukaryota; Metazoa; Chordata; Mammalia; Artiodactyla; Bovidae. The record is from RNAcentral.